This 1742-nucleotide long non-coding RNA is filed under the name Homo sapiens (human). RNAcentral's name for it is "long intergenic non-protein coding RNA 1013". Lineage: Eukaryota; Metazoa; Chordata; Mammalia; Primates; Hominidae. The record is from RNAcentral.
UUUUCUUAGCCCAACAUGAGAGGCUUACACAUGUACCCCUUUUCCCCAAACUUGUGAACUUGUCUGAUAUGUAGUCUCAAGUUUAUAAGCUUCCCUUAGAAAAAGUUCUAUUUCAUUUCUACAAAUCAUACUUCUCUCAUUUUAUAAUCCUUGAAAUGGAUAGUGCUGCCUCAUCUUAGAUGAGGCAUUCAACAGUUUUAAUUUCUAAGUUAUAAAUUAUUAUUUCUUCUUCUUUUUUAAACGUCUUAGAGACAAAUCUGUCUAUUUCACAUAGGAAGCCAGUUGAGUUGUUCCUCACGCUUUCCCCACGAAGCUGCAUCUGAAGGACUUCCUCACCCCCCCGCUGUGAUCACAAGUUAUGCCUCACAGAUUCAUUUCCUUAUGAAUGACUUCAGGAAGCCAGCAUUUUUAAUAAAUAGGAAGUAAAUUAUAUUUAAUGACUAAAUUCUCACCUAAAGUUGAUACUAAUAUUACAAUAACUCUCUUGUGCCCUAUUUUGGUGUUUUAAACUUCUUUGCUGUACAUUUAAGAAAAUCAGAAUUUCAGUAGACUCCUCGUGCAGUCUGAGGAGGCAGUUUCCUAUCUGGUUUGACUUAAGGGGCUGCAGAAGACAUUCUUAUCCCACAUAUUUCUUCUGCUGAUCAGUCAGCAACUGAAAUUCCAACUAAUGGAUUCCAUUCUUCCAGUUAAGACAUCAUCUCCAGAAAACUGUGCUAGUUGGCAUCCAGCAGUGCCCAAGUAUUAUUUAACCCACUAGAACCUGUGACUGCAUCAGCUUUAUAUCCUGGACCUCAGCCUGGAACAAAGGAGAGCUACACUUGGAUACUAAACACAAGUGGUCUGGAUAGAUUAUGCUGGGAAAAGAAGCCUGGAGCAGGCAGUACAGUGGGAGAACAAGGAGAGAAUGGAGUUGCAGCAGACUGCUCAGGAAUUGUACAUCACCAGUAGCUUCUGUCUCAGCUAAGUGUGGGAGACUGAUACUGAUGAGCCAUUAACAAUGGUGGAGAUUCUGAAUCACUGAAGCACUUGAUAAAAGAAAUGUCGUGGGUGAUGUGAAAAUCUACAUAUGCCCAUGAGAGUAUAUUGAGUUUGUAAGUGUUGUUGCUUAGUGUGUCACAGAGAAGUUUAUAAGAAACUAUUUUGGAGUAAGAAACAACACAGAAGAACACAGUUUCAGCCUGAAAUGGCUUAUUUAGCCACUGACCAUCAGAAACAAUUACUUUUUACCUUAACCUAGAUUUGUAAUAGCAGGAUGCAUUGAAUUCCUUCAUUGAAGUGAAACCUUAGCAAAUCUUUAAGUAGUACUCUAAAGUGACAAAAGGUGUUUACAUUUACUAAUGUAAAUUUCUUGUGGAGAUAAAGUUUUUAUUCUUCUUGGGUCUCAAGACUGCUCAAGAAGGAACCAUCGUUUGUUCUACACUGCUCUGUUCUAAAUGUUUGUUCCCCCAAUAUUCAUAUGUUGAAAUUCUAACCCCCAAGGAGAUAGUAUUAGGAGGUGGGGCCUUCGGGACAUGAUAAGGUCAUGAGGAUGAAGCCCUCAAGAAUAAGAUUCAUUGCCUUAUAAAGAAAAACCAGAAAGAUCCCUCAUUUCUUCAAUCAUAAGAAGACACAUGAGCAAGAAGACGGCCAGCUAUGAAGCAGGUCGUGGGCCCUCGCCAGACACUGAAUCUGCCAACACUUUGAUCUUGGAUUUCCUAGCCUGCAGAACUGUGAGAAAUAAAUUUCUUUUCUUUAUAAUCCAC